Molecule: ribosomal RNA, 468 nt
Filed under: uncultured bacterium
Lineage: Bacteria
Description: partial 16S ribosomal RNA
Rfam family: Bacterial small subunit ribosomal RNA
Source: RNAcentral
GACGAACGCUGGCGGCGUGCUUAACACAUGCAAGUCGAACGGCAAGGCCCUGCGUUUGUGGUGUGCUCGAGUGGCGAACGCGUGAGUAACACGAGUGUAACCUGCCCUUGUCUUUGGGGUAACUUCAGGAAACUGGGGUUACUAUCGUAUAGCAGACCCUGUUGCAUUGUGGGGGUUGGAAAGUCUAGGCGGUAGCGGUUGGACUGGCGGCUUAUCAGCUUGCUGGUGGGGUAGUUGCUUACCAAGGCAUUGACGGAUAGGCGGCCUGGGAGGGUGGCCGGGCACAAUGGGACUGAGAUACGGACCAGACUCCUACGGGGGGCAGCAGUCGGGAAUAUGGCACAAUGGGCGGGAGCCGGAUGCAGCAACGCUGCGUGCGGGAUGACGGCCUUCGGGUUGUAAACCGCUUUCGCCUGUGACGAAGCGUGAGUGACGGUAAUGGGUAAAGAAGCACCGGCUAACUACGUG